CCUACGGGGGGCAGCAGUGAGGAAUAUUGGUCAAUGGGCGAGAGCCUGAACCAGCCAAGUCGCGUGAAGGAUGACGGCCCUACGGGUUGUAAACUUCUUUUGUCAGGGAGCAAUUGAGUCCACGUGUGGGCUUAGCGAGAGUACCUGAAGAAAAAGCAUCGGCUAACUCCGUGCCAGCAGCCGCGGUAAUACGGAGGGUGCGAGCGUUAUCCGGAUUUAUUGGGCUUAAAGGGUGCGUAGGCGGAAUAUCAAGUCAGCGGUAAAAAUUCGGGGCUCAACCCCGUCGUGCCGUUGAAACUGAUGUU
This 305-nucleotide ribosomal RNA is filed under the name uncultured bacterium. RNAcentral's name for it is "bacterial SSU rRNA". It matches the Rfam family "Bacterial small subunit ribosomal RNA", at positions 338 to 640 of the family's 1533-position model. The record is from RNAcentral.